AAAUGGGGUGUCUACAUUUGCCCAGCUUUGGCACUCCCUAUCCUUCGAGGGGCUAGCGAGUGGCAAAGAAGUAGACACUCUGAUGUUUCAUAUCUUUCGGGGGGCAGGUGAACGUCAGAGAUAAACCAGACAUUUUAAAUUUCAUCCUGAAGUCACGUGGUCAGGGAGCAUACCAACUAUCCCUCCAAGUCAUUGCGCUCACUUAACUCACCCACCUAGAACAUUUUCUUCCUAGGGUUUUCGGUGUGAGAUGUUGAUGAGUUACACAAGCUUGAAUUUUUAACUCUGCCAUUUUUUUUUAUCUCCUUAAGGUUUCCUAAGGCCGUCUAUAGGGAAAGGCUUUCUAUUGGAAGAGACUUGUCUGGCCGAAUCCGACGUGAGAGACGAGGUAGCAACGCGGCAAUUACGAUAAACACGGUAUUCAUCAUAUAAGGGUGUCCAAGCUCCUUAGUUUUAGAAAAUGUUUUAGAAAAUUUGAAGGUAGGGUAUAUUUGAAGUGGACCCGG
RNAcentral lists this long non-coding RNA (506 nucleotides) under Amborella trichopoda. RNAcentral describes it as "long non-coding RNA (ATRI_LNC002515)". The record is from RNAcentral. Lineage: Eukaryota; Viridiplantae; Streptophyta; Magnoliopsida; Amborellales; Amborellaceae.